Long non-coding RNA from Chenopodium quinoa (quinoa), 785 nucleotides. RefSeq lists it as uncharacterized. The record is from RefSeq and is a predicted model, not a curated record. The transcript is spliced from 3 exons. NCBI's taxonomy places the organism in Eukaryota, Viridiplantae, Streptophyta, Magnoliopsida, Caryophyllales, Amaranthaceae.
AGGUUGAAACUUUCCUUGGCAAUGGUGGACUGGUGCUUGGUGCCCUGGUGGUAUCUGAAAGGUUGAACUAAGCUUGCACGUACUAGUCAGAGAACAAUCCAGAAAAUGGAAUCAUUUGUACAAAAAAACAGCCAUACAAGUCACUAUUUUUGCUUAAAAAGUUGAGAUGCAUCCCAUCACAAAUUGAAGAGUGAUGGUAACAGCAGCAGAGCUGUUGCAGCGUUUGCUGGUGAUCUCUCCUCUUCUGAUAAUUAUUAAAGUCCACUGGCUUUCGACAAUGCCAUCGUCAAGCUGCCUAAGCUUCCUCUUGCCAGGGUCCAACCCAAGUGACAUUCAUCGGGCUGGUGGUUCACCAUGGGGUGUUGCAGUUGUUUUGGCCAUUAUUUUUGUUCUGAUCUCAUAUCAGCCUUCCUUGCAAAGCAUUAUAUCAUAGGGAUGGUUCGCGACAAGGUCAGUACUCAGUAUAUAUGAACGGAGAUAUUCAGUGCAAGAGUCUUUUAUGCUGAAGGAAAAUGAGGUUAGCUGAUGAUUUUAGAACUCAACAUUUCAACAUUGUUCUGCUCCAUUUGGUGAAUUUGUUGGUGAGACAUUACUGUAAUGCUCUUCAAAUUUCGCUUUGAGGGAAUUUAGUUUCACUAUUAUAAAGUUGAAGUGCUGUGUUUUGGUACAAAGGCCAAUUGUGUAAGCAUGCACCAGUGAACUUCAGUGUCUUGAUAUUAUGUGCUUUGUAAUUUGUAUCAUGUACUGGUUCUAAUAAUACUAGAAUAGUAAAUGUUAGUCACUCA